This 478-nucleotide ribosomal RNA is filed under the name uncultured bacterium. RNAcentral's name for it is "bacterial SSU rRNA". It matches the Rfam family "Bacterial small subunit ribosomal RNA", at positions 32 to 503 of the family's 1533-position model. The record is from RNAcentral.
AACGCUAGCGGCAGGCCUAACACAUGCAAGUCGAGGGGUAACAGGGAUUAGCUUGCUAAUUUGCUGACGACCGGCGCACGGGUGCGUAACGCGUAUACAAUCUGCCUUAUACUGGGGUAUAGCCUUUAGAAAUGAAGAUUAAUCCCCCAUAGUCUCUUGAGAUGGCAUCAUUUUAGGAGUAAAGGUUACGGUAUAAGAUGAGUAUGCGUUCUAUUAGUUUGUUGGUGAGGUAACGGCUCACCAAGACUACGAUAGAUAGGGGCCCUGAGAGGGGGAUCCCCCACACUGGUACUGAGACACGGACCAGACUCCUACGGGAGGCAGCAGUGAGGAAUAUUGGACAAUGGAGGCAACUCUGAUCCAGCCAUGCCGCGUGCAGGAAGACUGCCCUAUGGGUUGUAAACUGCUUUUAUAUAGGAAGAAACCUUGCUACGUGUACCAAGCUGACGGUACUAUAAGAAUAAGGAUCGGCUAACUC